RNAcentral lists this non-coding RNA (21 nucleotides) under Arabidopsis thaliana (thale cress). Lineage: Eukaryota; Viridiplantae; Streptophyta; Magnoliopsida; Brassicales; Brassicaceae. The record is from RNAcentral.
UAAGUUAACUGAUGAUGGGAA